GGUCAGCAGACAGCUCUGUAAUUGUUUUGAGGAUGACAUAAGUUUUUUUUUUUUUUUUUAAUGUUAGCAACAUUAGACAUUUCAUUUUUUUAAGGUCCUUUUUGCUCUCUCUAAUCUCAUAUAUAUGGAAACAUGGGAAACUGAUAUAUUCUUAGACUCCAGGAAACUCACUACUCACUAGCAAUGACUACCCAGAUAUUGAUCUUAAUGGCUCCACAGUUCAGAAACAACCCAAAUGAUCUGCAUACAAGAACAAAGCUCAGUGUUGCUUACAUGAAGGAAACUGCUUGAUUUGAUUAAGAAUCAUGGGACUUGAUGCAGGUUCUUUGAAAAACACGGUAAUAAUUUCGAUGUAGCAUUUUGGGAGAAUUAGAAGGAAAAUAGUUUAAUACUCUGAGACCCACCCCUGGUUCCUAGCAUUUGACUUGAUUUAAGUUUCAACUUUAACCCCGCUGAAGAGCACCUUUGGCUAUCAGCGUAUUAUUAGAAUUCUGGUUUGGGCCUACAUGUUUCCUUUGUUUUUGCUGCUAUUUCAUACACUACCACCCUGAUUUUGCUGGUCAGCAUCUUUAUUUAGCAAUGUUACAGUAUUGCUCAGGUUUUUUGACUGAAGUUAUAAAAAAUACAUUCCCAUUGCAAAGAAAAGAAUCUAACCAUCCAGUAAAGUCAAACAGCACAUCUUAGGCAUGUUGCAUUCAAUCUCAUUUUAUCCCUUCUUCCAAUAGUGCCACCAUCUCUCCCUUGGACUGCUGGGGACAGCUGCCUACCAUUCUCCCUGGGGCCUCUCAGACACGGGCUUUUGAUUUUCCACACAGCAGCCAGAGUGAUCUGUUCAAAUCUAAUCAGAUCAUGCUGCUUUUGCGCUCAAACACUCCCAGAGCUUCCCACUGCACUGAGAUGGAACCUAAACAAUCUUGAGAUGAACAGUCCCCUCCUACUCUCUCUCCUCACUAUACCCUCGUCACACUCACCUUCUUGCAUUUCCUUGAGCUCACCCACACUUUCCUGACCCAGGGUCACUUGCCCUCACUAACCUAUAGUUUGGAAUAUUUUCCUAUUCAAGUCCCUGUUGAAAGAGGCCUGCUUGUCAAAACAGCACCCCUAUCACUGGUUCAUCUCUUAUCUUGCUUAACUUUUUCUUAAUAGCAUUCAUUAUGGAGACUGUAUUUCUUAUUUGUUUGUUAUUUGCUUCCCUCCUAGAAUAUGAAUUCCAUGAGGGCCAGGACUUGUUUAUAAUUAUAUUCCCAACACUGGGCCACCCAGUACCUUGUAAGAGGAAGCAUUAAACAUUGACUGAAUGAAACUCACCCCAGAAAAGUAACUACCAUUAACACUUCAAUAUAGACCCUUCUAGGUAUUUUCUACAUAUACACAAACUAUUUUUCAGAAAUAAAUGUUUUCCAUGACGUUACUUUCAGAAUUUCUAAGUAUAUGACAUAUGUAUUUUCAAAUACUCUUCACCUAGAUUUCCUGGAGCAGAAAUGCCCAAGUCUCACUCUAGCCAUUUCAGACUAAGUCUUCUAUCUCUGUCCAUGAUUCAGACUUUUACCUACCAUCUUCCUUUGGACCUGCUCCGUUUCCUUUUGAUGGUCAGCUUCAUCAAUAUUUUCUGUCUCUUUUCUAUUUCCUGUUGAUAUGCUUAGAUCUUAGUGUUAAGAAAAAAAAAAAAACACACAUCUGUGCUCAAAUUCCUUCUCCCCUCUGCUAUUUUAUCACCUUUCUUCUUGUAACUAUAAGACCUGGAGACAGUAUCCUACAGUUUUGGUCUCCUCUUUCCCACAGUUCAACUAUUCCAUAAGUCUCCCUUAAACUCUGCCUUUUCCCCAUAGGAUUCGAAUAAAACUGUUUUCUAAGCUCACCAAUUACUUUCUAAUUGCUAAACCCAAUAGCUUUUCCCAGUUUAAUUUCCUAGAUUUCUGAUGAGCACCUAAAAUAAUCACUAUGAUGACGAUUCUUUUCUGGCCUCAUGGUAGACAUUGUACUGUAGGAUGGCCACCAUUGAAUGAGCUUCACCACACCUCACCUCUGUGAAAUGAGUAAUCAGUUGCUUCCAGGUUGGUUCACUCUUUCUUGGAAAAGUAGUAAAAUCUAGCUAGUCACAAUCAAAACCAUCUUAUUCACAAUUCCCUAGAAUUUGGAAACAAUUCUGCCAAAAAGGACAAGUAUCAGGCACUUGAACAAAACUAUAUGAGCAGCAACUUUCCAUUUCUUGUGGUAAAGACUGAUUCUAUUGAACCUUCUAGUUCAAGUCUUCAAAGGUUUUGUAGUUUAUCUGUCCCCAUCCCAUAAACACUGUCCAGUAGUAAGACCUAACUUGUAUCCUAGCUACUUGGACUCUGCUUCCUGUUUUGUUUCUAUUGGCCCCUGUUUGCUGUGGCCCCAGUUUCCCCUUCUGGCUUUUUCAUUUUAAGUAGAUUCCACUGUUACACACAGUAUGCAACUGAUUAUUACACUAAUCCUGAAUCUGUGUCCACCAAGUGUUUCCCUAGAUUUCAUCUCUUCAAUCCUAGAUGCCUGUACACAUCUGAAUCUCCAACUAAUGUUUUUUUGAGUGCAUGGAAUCUGACUGUCUUAUUCGUGGCUGUAUACCCUUUGUAUGACUGCUAUCUGGCCUUUGGUAGAUGCUAAAUAGAGGGUUCUAAAUAAGUAAAUAAAGAAGUGAAUGCACUAAAGUGAAUCUGCCAUUUUUCUGUUUGAAAUGUGUUUCUGUUUUUCUGCUUACUCCUAGAAAGCAGCACCGCAUGCUCAGCUUCGCUAAGCUUCUGCUCGCAUGUGGCUUAUUUUCCUUCCCUUGAUUCAUUUCUACUUUUAUUCCCCAUAUUCAGCAUAGACAGCUUCAUCCUGUGAGGUCCUCUAAUUCCCCAUCAAUGCUGUUUCUCUGUCAAUGAGUCUGGAAAUAGAAAAAGUGACACCUAUUAUUACUAAGGAUGUCAAAAAAAGGAUGGCUUCUUGCAUUAUUGGUGGAAAUGUGUAGUGUUACUGCUAUGGAAAACCAUCAGAUGGCAUCAAUUAAAAUUGGAAAACACACUCUCAAACCAGUGGUUGCAAUGUGGGAAUCUCUGCCAUAAUAAUAAAAGUGGUAAUACCUAAGAUAUCUAUAUAAAAGGGUAUUUAUUGGAGCACUGCUUAUAAUGGUUCAGAAAGCUGGAAAUAAAUGCCCAUCAUAGGACAAAUGAUUUAAUAUGUGAUCAUAAGUCCAUAUCAUGGUAUGACCUUGAAUACAUACCAUAGCAGAUGACUUGAAGGGAUUGCUGAAUGAGAGAAGCAAGCUGUAGAAAAGCUUACAUAAGAUGUUAUCACUUCUAUAAAAUGAAAUAAUUACCAGCUCUUCCCAAUAUAGAUAUAGAUGCAUGUAGAUAGAUAGUUUUUAUUGAAUUAUAUGACUACAGAGAAAAAUAUAAACUAUUAUUAGCUGUGAACAUUGAAGCACGGGUAAUCUGGGGUAUGAACGGGCUUGAGGACAGUGGCACUGAUGUGAGCAGAGAAGGAAAGUGAGAGGAAGGAGGGAAUCAGGUCCUCCUGACAAAAAAAGACUGCUUUUAAAAAGCACAGAAAUGUUCACAUUUCUAUAAAAAUAUCAGCAAAUAUUUUGGCAGUUCUUAUUCUAUACCAGGCAUUGUUUUAGUGCCAAAUAUAUUAAAUUUAUUUAAUCUUCUAUCAACUCCAUGAAGGAGCUACUAUUAUAAACCUCACUUUUAUGGAAAAUGAAAGUGAAGCACAAGGAAGUUAAGAGACAAGCUAAAGUGGCACAGCAAGAAAGUGGUAAUUUGAAUUGGAAUCCAUACAGUGUGGUUUGAGAGACCACAUUCUUAACUGUAUGCAAUGGUGCCUCUUAGGGUAUAUGCGGUAUAUAAAGAAAAGAAGUAAUUCAUAAAGAUGCAUAUACAAAGUGGUAAUUAAAGGAAUAAUAUGGCUUUUACAUUGUGCAUUUUAUUAAACCAGACUACUCUUUUCCUUUAUUUGGAACUGAUUACAUUUUUUAAAGUUCUAUUUAAUAUGAGCUAAUAUUACUAUGCAGUUCUGUCUCCUGGAUUGUAUUGGCUAUACCUAAACUGAUCUUGGUCCCAAUAGUCAUCACAAACUAAGUAUUAAGAAUCUCAUUUCAAGAGCUGUUGAUAGAAGAAAUUAACUACUUGUUACAAGUGCUUUUUAGAUAUGAUUCACUUCUGCAGUGAUCUAUGGAUUAUCUAAAAGUUCUUUUUGGCCAGAAUGAAAGAAAUUUCUUAUGAUUAGUUUAAAAAUCUACAAUAUGUUACCCUCCAUUUGGUGGAGAGAGAUCUAGGUGAAGGAAAUAUUACUCUCCAAAAAUGAAAUUAGUAAAAAUCAAUAUAUAUAACUAUCGCAAGAAACGACUUGCUUACUACAAGAAAAGAGCUUGGGGCUUGAGCCCUAUCCUUUAUCCAUCUUUCCUCCACAAUUUGACAUCUGUGAGCUGCAAUGCCUCACAGCGAAAGGCCUCUGACCAUGGAACUGUCUGUCUUUAAAGAUACAUCUUGAUGUUGACAUGCAUCAAAAUGCAUAUUCAGGCUUUAGAAGAGUGAUGCCUAAGGUGAUUCUAAAUGAUGGAAUGGAAGAGGGACAAAAUGAAAGAUUCUUUCAUUCUUAAAUAGAUUGAGUAUGCAUCUGAAUGCCUAGAGGCAAACUCUGAUUGACAGAGAAG
Molecule: long non-coding RNA, 4660 nt
Filed under: Sus scrofa (pig)
Lineage: Eukaryota; Metazoa; Chordata; Mammalia; Artiodactyla; Suidae
Description: lncRNA (ENSSSCG00065064835.1)
Source: RNAcentral